UGGCGGUUUGGCGGGGGGUGGCGGUGUCGGAGGUGAGGGGUGUCUGGAUGAGAGUGGUCGGCUCCUGGGGAAGGGGCCCUGAUCCCUACAGGGUUUGUCCUAUGGUGCUCUGCUGUGGCACAGCUGAGGGGUUUAUGAACCGCCUCCUUGUGAGCUGAAGAGGUACUUUCAACCAAAUGGUUAACAUCAAAAGUGACAACUCAUUUUGAGCACCCACCUGAAGACUUCUGGGUCCUGCAAUUCUACAGUGUGGUCUACUGUAUAUCAUACAGUCUUUCAUUUAUUCUGAGCACAGCAAUCACUGACGCCUCUUUGCAGCUACAUGCACCCAAAGCUUUUGUGAAUUCAGAGAAUGGAUUUUCUGUACCCCAGAGGAGGAAAAUUCACUGGCCAUCUUCAGAAAUUGGAUUUGAGUGACUUUCUCAAUUCCACAAAUACUUCAGCAAGAAUAUGAUCUAUUCUGUCUACAAUCACUUACAUUCAUUCCUUCUAUAACUUCCAGGCUUUGCUGCAACAAAUCAGGCAGAGUUCUGAUGAGAAAACAGUCCCAUUGACUACAUUCAUGUGAAAAAUGAGGGUGUUACAUUUUUUACUUUUACAAAUACAAGAUACAGGUCACUUUAUUUUGUUUGCAUUCUUCCACAUGAUUAAAAAGAGUUACAUUGAAGGAUGCUGUAAAAGAAGGUGCAAAUAGAAAACAAUUCCAUCACAAAGAAGGAUGAAAUGCAGUCCAGGAAAGCACAAAUAACUCUUGAAGUUACAAGGGGGAAGCUGCUAAAAAGGAACGCCCUUACCUGUUUCCAGUGACAAAGACAGGGUGUUUAUUGUUCUUAUGCCUGAGAUGACUCAAAAUGGGCACCAAAACUGUAAAAGUUACUGCCCUAAGGAAGCGGGUUUGUGGAGUCAACAACGGCUGGACAUGCCUGUGGCAUCUCAUAAGCGGCCUCUCCCAAACUGGAGAGGGGAAAAACUAGAAUGGAGAGAACCUGCAAAAAACCUGGAAAGACGACAGGAGAGUUAUGGUUCUCGUGUCAAAACUUUGCUUUCUCUGCUGCCUAUCUCUGAGAGAAUAAAGCUUUGCUUUGAAGGAGCUGCCACUGAGUCAGUUUAGUUAGCUAGUGUCACAGAACAAACUGUUGCUAAAUAGGGAUUUUCAGCUCAUGAACACAGUCUAAAAAAUGACAGAAAGCAAUGGCAUGUUUCUGUGCAGAAAGACUAAGUUAAUGAAAAUUGCCGGAGGGAUGCACUUAAGAGGAGCUACCAAGGCACCUCAUCCUGUAAUGGUGACAAGUUCCUUGAUUCAUUUCCUGAGCCAUAUCCAUUCUUGCACUUAAUGUGACGGGAAGCUAUGUAUUCUCCACUGAGGCUGGCUGCACAUUUCUUCUGAAGUAAACUUUGCAGAAGUCACCGGUGCCUUUGUUACCUCCACCUGGGCUUCUGUACUUUUCUAUUUAUGAGUCCCCUUUGAAGCGUGCCUGAAAGAUCCAGUUCCCAAGAAAGCUACUACCCACUCCCUGAGCAGUGCCGCACAGCACGAGCAUGCCGCACCAGAGACUCGGCACUGGCUUGCUGUUUACUGAUCAACUUUAAAGCCCAGAGCACUCGAGGAAAAGGUUUUCUAAGGGGCUCCUCUCCCUCUGUGCCCACUCGCUGCCUUGCUACCAGGUGGAGAGUAAUGUCUGUCUGGGAACCAAGUCUCCAUGUGUGAAAGUCAACCUGGAUGAUAAAGAAAAUGGUUUUAAAAUUUGAGUUAGAAAGCCCAGGUUAAACAAAAUCAUUUGAAUCCAUCCUUGUAAUUCUGUGUCUGAACAAAAUAAUGUAUUUUAAGCAGCACUGACUACAUGGCUUUGGGGAAAUUAAAACAAGAUAAACAAAGGUAUUAAUCUAUACUAUACUGUAUUAUCUAUACAUUUUCCCCUGGUCUAGGUAAACCCUUUUGUUCAAUAUAGGUGUUUUUCAGUACGAUUCCCUCUGCUUUUGAAUUUAUCCUGUUAUCAAUCCAUUGGAGACAAAGAGUGAUGACCCUCAGGGUACAAGGGGGCGAUGCAUUUAUUUUUACCGAGCACUUGACUCACUCACAUCUCUUCUCCUUUUAAUCCCUGUAAUUAAAAUGUCUGCCUGCCACUUCAGUACAUGCUCUAAAAUGAUUAAAAUUUGAACAUUGUAGCAAUCAUAGUUACUGCUGCUGUACAAGAGGAAGAACGAUUGAUCUAGUCCAACACAGUUAAGUAAGCUAUAGAAAGGAAACCAUUAGUUACUAAUGCAAAAUAGAAUAUAAAAGUAUUGAGUCAGAUGAAAGGAGCAUCUAAGGUAGUAUAUCCUGUCUCUGAUAAAAGCCAGUAUCAAAUGCUUAAGGGAAGAGAAUGAGAAAUCAAGCAAGUACAGAGAAGUAUGUCCUGUGGUAUGUCCACCCAGCUUCCACCUUACCACACUUUAGAGCCUUCUUGUACCAGAUCUGUCAAGUCUACCACGUUUAAUAAACCAAAAUGGAUCUGUUUUCCAGAACUUCCAAGUCUGGCUCUUCUAAACUAUUCUUUGAAGCUAUUUAGACUUUUGCUCCCCCAAACAUCCUGUGGACAUGUGUUCCACAGUUUUAUUAUGCGUUGUGUGGAAGAAACCCCACUUCAUUAUGUUUAUUUUAAGCCUCCUAACUACUAGUUUGCAUUCAGAGCCAAUGAGGCAUGCCCAAGCUAGUCUAAAAGAAGCCUUGAACAACAUCUCCAUCCCUUUCUGUUUUAUUAAUUCCCCCAUCUUCCUUUUUUUCUCUCUCAUUCCCACUUUCUUUUAUCCUCAUAUUAUCUCUGGAGGGUGUUACAAGCUAUGCAGACAUCUGAUUUACAAAUGCAUGCCUAUUACAUACCAAAAUUCAAAUGACCAAAAGCACAGCAGUCCUUCAGAGACACGCUCUUCCACGACGAUGUCACUUGCUUGUAAUUUUAGUCUUAAACUUUGGCACCUCGGUUCCUUUCUGAGCUCCCGAGUGACGGUGACCUGGUUUUCGGAGGUGCUUAGCACCCACCACCUCCCGGGGGGAGCUGCAGGCACUCCACGCGCACAAGAGAACACUUUUAUGCAAAGCAUCCGCCUGGCUCUGGGCACUCAAGUAUGAAAUUGUUAUUCUGGAUUCAGCUUCACAGUGUAGUGACACAGGAAAUCGUCAGCCCCAGAGUGAAAUUAAGAACCUUAGGACUGGCAGUGCAACCCUUACUUAUGGUGAUAUAAGGUAAGCAGUCCUCUUGAAUUAAAUAUUACUAAAUGUGAGUCUUCCCAUUUUUUCAGGAUCAGUGGCAAAUGCUACAGAGGACAGUCAUCUUACAGACUUUCUGUAGUAUAAAUGUAUGGAUCAUUGCUAUAUCAGCAGUCCUGCCUGGACAUCUGAUUUUCAGCUUUAUAUCUGUUUCCACAGUAAAACACACCAAAACUUUAACUUACAUGUUCACCUGCACAAUCAUCCAAUAGAUACACUUUCCAUCUGCCCUAUAUUUUUUCCUCUUUCUCUGUUCCUCUCUCACUCUUGGAAUUUGCUCAGACCUAUUCUCUAGCCAAAAGUCUCUUUUUUUUCCCCUUCAGUGUACUCCUCUUUGCAUUUCUUUUUGCUUUCUCACCACCUUUCUAUGUGUCAGCCUUGUUCCAGUUCUUCUCCCCAAUGGCAUUCAGAACUCCUGCUACUUUCAUACACUCUCACCAUUUUAAGCCGCUUUCCCACAUGCUCUCUUUCACGGAACACCUUCCUUCCACUGAUUUCCGAAGCACAGAUGCUUGUUCGC
Molecule: long non-coding RNA, 3767 nt
Organism: Harpia harpyja (harpy eagle)
Lineage: Eukaryota; Metazoa; Chordata; Aves; Accipitriformes; Accipitridae
Exons: 3
Source: RefSeq, a predicted model, not a curated record